RNAcentral lists this ribosomal RNA (427 nucleotides) under uncultured prokaryote. Its description in RNAcentral is "bacterial SSU rRNA". It matches the Rfam family "Bacterial small subunit ribosomal RNA", at positions 355 to 796 of the family's 1533-position model. The record is from RNAcentral.
UGGGGAAUUUUCCGCAAUGGGCGAAAGCCUGACGGAGCAAUACCGCGUGAGGGAGGAAGGCUUUUGGGUUGUAAACCUCUUUUCUUAGGGAAGAAGAAAGUGACGGUACCUAAGGAAUCAGCAUCGGCUAACUCCGUGCCAGCAGCCGCGGUAAUACGGAGGAUGCAAGCGUUAUCCGGAAUUAUUGGGCGUAAAGCGUCCGCAGGUGGUGCCUCAAGUCUGCUGUCAAAGACCGAAGCUCAACUUCGGGCAGGCAGUGGAAACUGAAGCACUAGAGUACGGUAGGGGUAGAGGGAAUUUCCAGUGUAGCGGUGAAAUGCGUAGAGAUUGGAAAGAACACCAGUGGCGAAGGCGCUCUACUGGACCGUAACUGACACUCAGGGACGAAAGCUAGGGGAGCGAAAGGGAUUAGAUACCCCCGUAGUCC